UGCCCUUCCGAGAGGCCCCGGCGUACUCCAACCGCCGGCGGCGGCCCCCCAACACGCUGGCCGCCCCCCGGGUCCUGCUGCGCUCCAACAGUGACAACAACCUCAAUGCCAGCGCUCCCGACUGGGCCGUCUGCUCCACGGCCACCUCGCACCGCAGCCUCUCACCCCAGCUGCUACAGCAGAUGCCCAGCAAGCCCGAGGGGGCCGCGAAGACCAUUGGGAGCUACGUGCCCGGGCCCCGCAGCCGGUCCCCAUCGCUGAACAGGCUGGUCGGCGCAGGCGAGGACGGCAAGAGGCCGCAGCCUCUCUGGCAUGUCGGGUCUCCUUUUGCUCCUGGUGCCAACAAGGACUCACUCUCGGCUUUCGAGUACCCGGGGCCCAAGCGGAAGCUCUACAGUGCUGUACCUGGGAGGCUCUUCGUCGCCGUCAAGCCAUACCAACCCCAAGUGGACGGCGAGAUCCCCCUUCACCGUGGCGACAGGGUCAAAGUUCUGAGCAUCGGCGAAGGGGGCUUCUGGGAAGGCAGCGCCCGCGGCCACAUCGGAUGGUUUCCGGCGGAGUGCGUGGAGGAGGUCCAGUGUAAGCCCAGGGACAGCCAGGCAG
RNAcentral lists this small RNA (603 nucleotides) under Pongo abelii (Sumatran orangutan). RNAcentral describes it as "processed transcript". The record is from RNAcentral. Lineage: Eukaryota; Metazoa; Chordata; Mammalia; Primates; Hominidae.